UUCUCAUAUCCUAGUGGUUAGAGCGUCGGCCUCUGAUACCGGAGGUCGUGGGUUCGAUCCCCGACCGAGUCAU
Molecule: non-coding RNA, 73 nt
Organism: Potamilus streckersoni
Lineage: Eukaryota; Metazoa; Mollusca; Bivalvia; Unionida; Unionidae
Source: the annotation of a GenBank genome assembly